Molecule: unclassified non-coding RNA, 357 nt
Filed under: Hevea brasiliensis (rubber tree)
Lineage: Eukaryota; Viridiplantae; Streptophyta; Magnoliopsida; Malpighiales; Euphorbiaceae
Source: RNAcentral
GGGCGGCCCGGCCGGAGUCAGGAUUGAAAGCGUAGACGGACUUGAACCCAUACUUGUCGAGGAUAUCUCGAAGCUCCAGCUGGUCCUGGUCCCAACCUCCCAAGCUCGACUUGAACACCUCGAUCGGACCCUUGCCUCGUCGGUAUAGAUGGAUCUCCACCUCCGGCACCUUUGUCCUGACCGUUCGAGGCUUCGGGCUCGGAUUCGGAUCAGUCUGCGAAGAUUCAUUCGGAUUUGGGUUUGUCUCUGGGAUUUCUGUGAUUUCGUUGCCCAUCUCCAUUUUGCUGUAGAGAGCCGGCCUUGCUCGUAUUAGAAGGCCAGGGUAUGUCUUAAUAUUUAUCUUGUGAAAUGAUAAAA